RNAcentral lists this ribosomal RNA (155 nucleotides) under Ascophyllum nodosum. RNAcentral's name for it is "partial 18S ribosomal RNA". It matches the Rfam family "Eukaryotic small subunit ribosomal RNA", at positions 1677 to 1831 of the family's 1831-position model. RNAcentral also lists the same sequence under 1 other name. The record is from RNAcentral. Lineage: Eukaryota; Phaeophyceae; Fucales; Fucaceae.
CGCACCUACCGAUUGAAUGUUUCGGUGAAGAUUCCGGACCACAACUUGCGCGCUUCACGGCGCUCUCGCCGCGGGAAGUUAUCUAAACCUCAACAUUUAGAGGAAGGUGAAGUCGUAACAAGGUUUCCGUAGGUGAACCUGCGGAAGGAUCAUUA